UGGGGAAUAUUGCACAAUGGGCGCAAGCCUGAUGCAGCCAUGCCGCGUGUAUGAAGAAGGCCUUCGGGUUGUAAAGCACUUUCAGCGGGGAGGAAGGCGUUAAGGUUAAUAACCUUGGCGAUUGACGUUACCCGCAGAAGAAGCACCGGCUAACUCCGUGCCAGCAGCCGCGGUAAUACGGAGGGUGCAAGCGUUAAUCGGAAUUACUGGGCGUAAAGCGCACGCAGGCGGUAUGUCAAGUCGGAUGUGAAAUCCCCGGGCUCAACCUGGGAACUGCAUUCGAAACUGGCAGGCUAGAGUCUUGUAGAGGGGGGUAGAAUUCCAGGUGUAGCGGUGAAAUGCGUAGAGAUCUGGAGGAAUACCGGUGGCGAAGGCGGCCCCCUGGACAAAGACUGACGCUCAGGUGCGAAAGCGUGGGGAGCAAACAGG
This 429-nucleotide ribosomal RNA is filed under the name Chloroflexota bacterium. RNAcentral describes it as "Chloroflexi bacterium partial 16S ribosomal RNA". It matches the Rfam family "Bacterial small subunit ribosomal RNA", at positions 355 to 776 of the family's 1533-position model. Lineage: Bacteria; Bacillati; Chloroflexota. The record is from RNAcentral.